RNAcentral lists this ribosomal RNA (429 nucleotides) under Acidobacteriota bacterium. RNAcentral describes it as "Acidobacteria bacterium partial 16S ribosomal RNA". It matches the Rfam family "Bacterial small subunit ribosomal RNA", at positions 355 to 776 of the family's 1533-position model. Lineage: Bacteria; Pseudomonadati; Acidobacteriota. The record is from RNAcentral.
UGGGGAAUAUUGGACAAUGGGGGAAACCCUGAUCCAGCCAUCCCGCGUGUGCGAUGAAGGCCUUCGGGUUGUAAAGCACUUUUGGCAGGAAAGAAACGUCAUGGGUUAAUACCCCGUGAAACUGACGGUACCUGCAGAAUAAGCACCGGCUAACUACGUGCCAGCAGCCGCGGUAAUACGUAGGGUGCAAGCGUUAAUCGGAAUUACUGGGCGUAAAGCGUGCGCAGGCGGUUCGGAAAGAAAGAUGUGAAAUCCCAGAGCUCAACUUUGGAACUGCAUUUUUAACUACCGGGCUAGAGUGUGUCAGAGGGAGGUGGAAUUCCGCGUGUAGCAAUGAAAUGCGUAGAUAUGCGGAGGAACACCGAUGGCGAAGGCAGCCUCCUGGGAUAACACUGACGCUCAUGCACGAAAGCGUGGGGAGCAAACAGG